Molecule: ribosomal RNA, 404 nt
Filed under: Actinomycetes bacterium
Lineage: Bacteria; Bacillati; Actinomycetota; Actinomycetes
Description: Actinobacteria bacterium partial 16S ribosomal RNA
Rfam family: Bacterial small subunit ribosomal RNA
Source: RNAcentral
UGGGGAAUAUUGGACAAUGGGCGCAAGCCUGAUCCAGCCAUGCCGCGUGAGUGAUGAAGGCCCUAGGGUUGUAAAGCUCUUUCACCGGUGAAGAUAAUGACGGUAACCGGAGAAGAAGCCCCGGCUAACUUCGUGCCAGCAGCCGCGGUAAUACGAAGGGGGCUAGCGUUGUUCGGAUUUACUGGGCGUAAAGCGCACGGAGGCGGACUAUUAAGUCAGGGGUGAAAUCCCGGGGCUCAACUCCGGAACUGCCUUUGAUACUGGUAGUCUUGAAUUCGAGAGAGGUGAGUGGAAUUCCGAGUGUAGAGGUGAAAUUCGUAGAUAUUCGGAGGAACACCAGUGGCGAAGGCGGCUCACUGGCUCGAUACUGACGCUGAGGUGCGAAAGCGUGGGGAGCAAACAGG